UAGAGCUUCACAGUUUCGAGUUGUGAAAGCUGUUGCAACUCCAAAUUCAGCAGUAGAGCCAAAUUCAUCAUUAGAGUUACCGCUUACUUCAGAGAACAUUGAGAGUGUGCUGGAUGAAAUUCGACCAUAUCUGAUUUCAGAUGGAGGAAACGUUGCAUUGCAUGAAAUUGAUGGCAAUGUUGUGAAGCUAAAACUUCAAGGAGCGUGUGGAUCCUGUCCAAGUUCAGUCACGACAAUGAAAUUGGGAAUUGAGCGUCGUUUGAUGGAAAAGAUACCAGAGAUUGUUGCUGUUGAAGCAGUACCAGAUGAAGAAACUGGCCUUGAGCUUAACGAGGAAAACAUAGAGAAGGUUCUUGAAGAGAUACGGCCAUAUCUUGUUGGGGCAGCUGGUGGAAGUUUAGAACUUGUGGCAAUUGAGGAGCCAAUAGUUAAAGUCCGAAUCACAGGUCCUGCAGCUGGUGUAAUGACAGUUCGUGUGGCUGUAACUCAGAAACUGAGGGAAAAGAUACCAUCAAUAGCAGCAGUUCAACUCUUGCAGUAGAAUGUGGAAAUUGGCUCAGUUUGUGACGCCUUCAUACAUUACCUAUGUACCAGCAAAGGAAACAAUACAGCUACUUUGUACAGUUGCUCUGCAUCUAUUUCAGUCUUUAUGUUCUAUAUUGUAUUAUUUGAAUAGGCACAUCCUGGAAAGGGAUUUAUAAUACCCAGUUUGUGUGGAUGAAGAUGACCCUGUUAUGUGAGUUCAGAUGCGGGAGAAGACUUAUCAAUGAUGAGUACCGAAGAGAAAAUUUCACGCGCAGACCAGACUGAUGGUUGUGAGCCCAAAUAAUAACCCCUAUUUAUAAGGUGCUGUUGGCUUUGAAAUAAGAAGACUUAUCAAUGAUGAGUACCGAAGAGAAAAUUUCACGCGCAGACCAGACUGAUGGUUGUGAGCCCAAAUAAUAACCCCUAUUUAUAAGGUGCUGUUGGCUUUGAAAUA
RNAcentral lists this unclassified non-coding RNA (979 nucleotides) under Hevea brasiliensis (rubber tree). The record is from RNAcentral. Lineage: Eukaryota; Viridiplantae; Streptophyta; Magnoliopsida; Malpighiales; Euphorbiaceae.